ACCCGCACAAGCGGUGGAUGAUGUGGUAUUAAUUCGAUGCAACGCGAAAACCUUACCUACCCUUGACAUGUCCGGAAUCCUGCAGAGAUGGCGGGAGUGCCCGAAAGGGGAUCGGAACACAGGUGCUGCAUGGCUGUCGUCAGCUCGUGUCGUGAGAUGUUGGGUUAAGUCCCGCAACGAGCGCAACCCUUAUCAUUAGUUGCUACGCAAGGGCACUCUAAUGAGACUGCCGGUGACAAACCGGAGGAAGGUGGGGAUGACGUCAAGUCCUCAUGGCCCUUAUGGGUAGGGCUUCACACGUCAUACAAUGGUCGGUACAGAGGGUUGCCAAGCCGCGAGGUGGAGCCAAUCCCAGAAAGCCGAUCGUAGUCCGGAUUGUUCUCUGCAACUCGGGAGCAUGAAGUCGGAAUCGCUAGUAAUCGCGGAUCAGCAUGUCGCGGUGAAUACGUUCCCGGGUCUU
RNAcentral lists this ribosomal RNA (460 nucleotides) under uncultured Thiobacillus sp. RNAcentral describes it as "bacterial SSU rRNA". It matches the Rfam family "Bacterial small subunit ribosomal RNA", at positions 919 to 1382 of the family's 1533-position model. Lineage: Bacteria; Pseudomonadati; Pseudomonadota; Betaproteobacteria; Nitrosomonadales; Thiobacillaceae. The record is from RNAcentral.